AAAUGGAAAUCUGAGAGCCAUUAGUUUGUCUGAAUUUUUAAAUAUUCUGUAAGUAAUAUUUAAUGAUAUAAAAUUUUUAUUAUCCCAUUUUUUGCUUUGCUUCACACUGUUUAGGCUUUGAGAUUCCUAGUGAUGAUUUGCCAAAAUGAAAGCAUGAAAAUAAAAUGGAGAGAUUUAUCCACAUUUUAAAGUGUAUAUUUCCUAUAAGGAUACUACCCCCCCUUUGUUUUCUUUUCUAUUAUGAAAUUUGCCUGAAUAAAGGGCCCAGAAGUUUAGGAAUAGCUCAUUUAGGUUCAGACUUGUAUGUGGAUUUCUCCUUGUGGGUCAUCAUCAUAGUUCUCACUCAUUAAGGGCAAGCUCUUAAAAACUAACAACUUGUAUAUUUUUGGAUUGACAGAAGAUCUUCAAAGAUCCAGUUCAAAUAAAAAUUUGAAAUCAAUUCUAUACACUUAUGAAAGUCAACAUGAAUACAUUAACCUGCAUUCUUUCAGUUGCAAGUGACAGAAACAAACUCAAACCGACAUUAGCAUCAAAUGAUAACUGACAUUUACAUUUUUUUUUCUUUUGAUCACUGUGAAGGCCAGAGGUUAAACUGGCUUUAUGGAUGGCAGGCUGUAGAAACUUUCUUUUGUCCACUUUUUUCUUCUUUUUUGAUAAGUGUAUUGGUUCUAAUCUUAGAUUUUUCCCCAGUGGUGGCAGAAGAGGCCAUUAGCAACUCUUGGCUCAUGUCUUAAAACCUUAGCAAUCUCAGGAGAAAGCCUCUUUGUCAACAUUGCCAGCCAUUUAUUCUGACUGGGAUAAUUUGGGACAUAUGGCAGUCCCUGAAUCAGUCACCAUGUCCAGAGAAAUGGAAUAUUCUAAUUAGACACGUCCUCCACUCUGAAGGUAGGACAGAGGCUCAGCUCCAUCUGAACCAUGAAGACUGGGAUAGAGGAGAAAAAAAAUUCUAAUGUAUAAUACAAAAGGUUACAUCACUGAGUUGGAUGGUCAAUGCCUAUUAUCAUCUCUAGGGUCAGAUUACUAGUGUAAAAAAAAGAGAGAGAAAGUGGACUAGGAUCUGGGCACCUAGGUGGCUCCGUCCGUUAAGUGCUCCAUUCUUGGUUUUGGCUCAGGUCACCAUCUCACGGUUUGUGAGUUUGAGCCCCUUAUCGGGCUCCGCACUGCCCAUGAGGAGUCUGCUUGGGAUUCCCUCUCUCCCAACUUCUCUGCCCCUCCCCUGCUCACGCUCUCUCUCAAAAUAAAUGAAUAAACUUAAAAAAAAAAAAGAAAAGAUGGAGAAACGGGAACCCUCUUGCACUGUUGGUGGGAAUGCAAAUUGGUGCAGCCACUCUGGAAAACAGUGUGGAGGUCCCUCAAAAAAUUAAAAACAGACCUACCCUAUAACCCCGCAAUAGCACUGCUAGGAAUUGACCCCAGGGAUACAGGAGUACUGAUGCAUAGGGGCACUUGUACCCCGAUGUUUAUAGCAGCACUCUCAACAACAGCCAAAUUAUGGAAAGAGCCUAAAUGUCCAUCAACUGAUGAAUGGAUAAAGAAAUUGUGGUUUAUAUACACAAUGGAGUACUACGUGGCAAUGAGGAAGAAUGAAAUAUGGCCCUUUGUAGCAACAUGGAUGGAACUGGAGAGUGUGAUGCUAAGUGAAAUAAGCCAUACAGAGAAAGACAGAUACCAUAUGGUUUCACUCUUAUGUGGAUCCUGAGAAACUUAACAGGAACCCAUGGGGGAGGGGAAGAAAAAAAAAAAGAGGUUAGAGUGGGAGAGAGAGCCAAAGCAUAAGAGACUCUUAAAAACUGAGAACAGACUGAGGGUUUAUGGGGGGUGGGAGGGAGGGGUGGGUGGGUGAUGGGUAUUGAGGAGGGCACCUUUUGGGAUGAGCACUGGAUGUUGUAUGGAAACCAAUUUGACAAUAAAUUUCAUAUAUUGAAAAAACAAAAUAAGUAAAUAAACAAAAAAAAAAACAAAAGAAAGUGGACUAGGAUCCAGAAGAUCAGAGUGCUUUUUAGUUGAUAGACUUGAGGCAAAUGACUUUACGAAUUAUAUUAUACAUUAUAAUUAUUAUAUUAUACACUAUAAUUACAAUUUAUAACUUUAUGAAUUAAUUUUUCUAAUCUGUGACAUGGGCAUCACCUCUGUUUUAUUGUUUCAGUUAUAACCUACACAGUGAUAAAUCCCUAAAUGUAAUCUCUAGAUUAGAUAUCCUUCUGAUCUAGAAUAUUCUAGACUAUUCUCUUUGGAGGAUAGUCUCCAGAACUCUGGAUCUCCACCCUCCCCUCUCCCUACCCUGCUAUGGGCCCCAGGAGGCAUACCUUUGUGGACACAUGGACAGACUCCCUUGUUCUCUGAUGUCCAUUUGUGUUUGGACAAUGAAAGCCAGUGGCAGAGGAUUGUGGGGGAGCAGAAGAGAGGUGGAUAUAUUCAUCCCUUUGUGCCCUUCCUCUCAGUCAGCAGGUGGUCAGUGACUGUGUUCCUGUACUGAUGGCCACUGCUCUUGUCCAUGGCUACAGCUAAUGGUUUCAUUAAGUUGGAAACUACUCCCUUCCCUUAUCCUUUCAAGCCUGGCAGUGGUUGGAGCCUUACUUCUGAUUUCUAGACUUAGAAUGUCCCAUCAUUUCUUACUGAUUUCCUCUAACACUACUCAUAACUUUGUGAAUAGUUUUGUUAAGUCUAUUCAAGCAUUUUUCUUUUAAAGUACACUACAUAUUUUGGGUUGUGACCUUGAUUGAAACAGCUCUCAACAAAUUUCCAAAGGCAUCCCAUGUUCAAUGUUAAGAGAAUUGAGAUUAUUAUCAUAAUUCAACUCAAGAGUUUUCUUUGUUAGUUGUAACACCAUCCAUCAAUCAUUUCAACUUAAAACCUUGAAUACAAAUUCAAAUGUUCAUUCUUCUUUACCUUUACAUUCAACUAUUUAUUAAAUAUUGUCAAUUUUAUCUCAUAAUCAUUUUAAAAAUAUACUCCCCUCACCACCCCUAAUGCUUAAAUGGCCCUUCUGUUACUUCAGUUUUGACAAUCCUAUUACUAACAUGAUCACAGACCAGACCAUAUCCCUCCUCGUCUAUAACAAGUUCAUCUUUCUAGGACUCCUGGUUAACCACCAGAUAACAUCCAGACAGUGCAAUAUAUUAUUCUAUGCUAAAAAGGAAUGAGCUACCAACCCACCAAAAGACAUGGGGGAAAACUGAAUGCAUAUUUCUAAGUGAAAGAAUCAAGUCUGAGAAAGCUACAUAUUGUAUGAUUCCAAUUAUAUGACGUUCUGGAAAAAGAAAAACCAUGUAGACAGUAAUGUCAGUAGUAGUGUGCAUAGGUGGAGCACAGAGGACUUUUAGGUUGAUGAAACUAUUCUGUAUGAUCUUGUAAGGACGACUCCAUGAUGUUAUGGACUGAAUGUUUGUGUCCACCCCCAAAUUCAUAUGUUAAAAUCCUAAUGCCCAAUAUGACUGUAUUUAGAGAUAAGGCUUAGAAGGAAAUAAUUAAGGUUAAAUGAGGUCAUAAAGACGGGGCUCUGAUCUGAUAGGAUUAGUGCCCUUAUAAGAAGAGACAGGAGAGAACUCUGAGGACUUUCUCUCUUUCUCUCCACCAUGUGAGGACACAGUGAUAAGGCAUCUCUCUGCAACCUGGAAGAGAACCUCACUAGGAACCAACCAUGCUGGAAUCCUGAUCUCAGGCUUUUAAGACUUCAGACUGUGAGAAAAUUAAUUUCUGUUUAAGCCACAUAGUCUAUGGUAUUUUGUUAUGGCAGUCCUAGCAGACUGGGACACACAACAUUAUGCAUUUGUCAAAAUCCACAGAACUGAAUAACAUAGAGAGUGAAUCUUAAUGUAAACAAUGGGCUUUAGCUAGUACAAAUGUAAUAGUAUUAAUAUUGAUUCCUCAAUUAUAACAAAUAUACCACAUUAAUGGUAGAUGUUAGUCAUAGGGGACACUGGAUGUACAAGAGCAAGAGUACGGGAACUCUUUGUGCUAUUUGCUUAAUUUUUCUAUAAGCCUAAAAUUGUUCUGAAAAUAGUCUGUUAAUAAAAGGAGUUAAAAAAAAAAGAUAAUUAGUGAAUGAAAGACUGAAUACCUUCUUUGCUUACCUCAUCUCCUAGAUUUGGUGGGAACCUAAACUGAGAUCAUGCAUGUGAAGUACUUUGUAAAAGAGAACAUGCCAUUUCACACAAUCUGACAGUGCGAGGGAAGUAACCAAAUUGCCACAAAACAACUCUUGGCAGAUGCUAAUUAAUAUCUGAUCAGAACACAAAAAAUGAUAAAGAGGAGAAUACAAUGGCUGGAAUGAAUGAAUGAUACAUAAAUAAAUUUAUUUAUAAAUUUAAAUGAAGGUGUAGCAUAGGACAUAUAAAAUUAUCUGUUUACAUAAACAAUAAGAAAAUUAAAAGGAUACUGUAUCUGAUGGUGAAUGUUAUCAUUAAAUAAAGGCAAUUAAGACUAGUAGGCUAAACUUGAGAUCACCCUAUUAAAUGAAAAAUUCUUUCUAAUAGAACAGUAAGUUCUGACCACAUAAUAGACAAAGCUAUGUGAGUUAUACAAAGUCCAGGAAUUUUUAGGUAAUUGUUUGAGUAACUUUUUAAGAUUAAAAGUUACAGAAAAGUGCCUGAAGUUUUUUGAUUUGGUAGAAAAUACAGUGUGAACUUGUUGUUACAAGUCUGGGUCUGCAUGGGAGCAUCCCAUCAUCAGGUGACUAGAAAGGGUGGCUCUCAGUGCCAUCUUUCCUUUGCCAUCUUUCAGUCUAUACUUAUUCCUCAUGGGGCGUUUCCUAAGGCCAACUGGCUAGUAGCGUGUGGCGUGUCCACACUGGCACGAGCGAGAACUAGACUGGCAACAUUAUAUUCAUACAAUAUUACAUACCACAUAUCGCAUAUCUUAUACCAGAUAUUUUAUAUUCCAGUCCCCGUUCUGGCUCUGAGGGUUAUUGGGGAAGAAAAUUCUCCAAGUAAGAAACACUGAGAGUUUCUCUGUUUCUCCACUCAUCUGGAAGGAGAUUUUGCUUUGGGUUUGAAACGCUGAUUCUUGAGUAGUGAUUACUGGUUUGAUUAGAUGGUCAGGGACUUGGGGAGAACACAGUUGGAAGACUGGUGAAAAGAAAGUUUGAACAGUUACAUAUCUGCGUCCCAACUGAUUAUUCCUCAUAGGGGUUCCUGGUAGAGGAGGUUCUCCACAAUCUGAUGCACAAAAUGACCUGCUCUGUGGGUGUUAAUUUCUUUUCCGGCUACAUCGGGGCUGUCGACGGCUCCUGAACGGCAAGGUGGAGUGGUAGCAGGGAUAGACCCUUAAGAAUCUGGGUUCCUUCUCAUGAAGGCUACUUAAACUUCUGACAUUAAUUAACAAACAGCCUGUCAGUCAUAAAUAUCAAAGCUGAGCCUCCAGUAGAGCAUCCCAUUCUGGCAGAAGAUAGAUUAUAUUAGAUAUUUCUGUUGGGAGGCAUUGUAUUCACUGGAGCAAAUACUUACAUUAGAUAUGCACUUGUUUUCCUUGCUUGCUGGACUUCUGACUUUAACAUCACUGCUUAUCUCAUACACUCUUGGUGAAUAAGACAACAAAUGAAUGAGACACAAUGAGGAAGCACUUAACGUUGAUUAUGGACAAGGAAUAUAUUUUACAGAAAAAGAACAUGGAAUAAGUAGUGAAGAAAGAGAUUUAUAAAAGUAUAAAAUAGCCACUAUGUCCUCAUGACUACUUGAAGAGUGAAGGUAGAGUGUCACAUUUUCUUCCUUGGUCUUAUAUAUGUGUGUGUGAGUGUGCGUGUGCUUCUCUUUCUCAUCUUUCUUUCUUCUUUAUGUGGGGUGAAUGUGAGCUGACUUACUUGGUAAUUAUGAUUUCCAGGGCAUCAAGGUGGGAUAGAAUGACAGGAGUAGAAUGGAAAUGACUGGAGGUUUGUAAGCAAGGCUUUCUUUCUUUCUUUCUUUCUUUCUUUCUUUCUUUCUUUCUUUGUUCAGCUUUAAUCUUUUAAAAUUUUUCUUACAGAACAAGUUGUUUGGGACACCUGGGUGGCUCAGUUGGUUGAGUGUCCAACUUUGGCUCAGGUCAUGAUCUCGUGGUCGGUGAGUUUGAGACCCGCGUAGGGCUGUGUGCUGACAGCUCAGAGCCUGGAGCCUAUUUCAGAUUCCAAGUCUCCCUCUCUCUCUCUGUCCCUCCCCUGAUCAUGCUCUGUUCUCUCUGUCUCUCAAAAAUGAAUAAAUGUUAAAGAAAAAAAAAAAGAACAAGUUGUUCACUCAUAGAGCUGAAAAAGAUAAAUUAAGCAAGUCAGUUCAGGGAAGCAAAAUGUGAAUAGUUCAUAUACCUUUUAUUAGUGCAGUCUAUGGACAACUGUGUAACUAGACAUUUUCUAUAUACUACUAUGUCUGUUUUUUUUUCAUUUUAAAAUUAAUUUCAAGUCCAUGCUUGUUAAUAGACAAUUAGUAUUUACAAAGUUGUACUUUCAUUUUCAUUGAAUUGGAAUAUGAACCCUAGCUCACAAUGAAAGUGUGCCUUUGGCUCAGGUAUAAAAUUUGUGUUGCUGUUUUUUUUGUGUGUGUUUUGUUUCAUUUUUCAAUAGUUUCCUUGGGAGGUAUUGCCCACUGGCCUAACCAAUGGUGUGUUUCAGAUCUCCACAACUGAGGGAAAUUGAAGAACAAUGGUCCUCACAAUCUUUAACCGUUUAAGCCAUUGGUUCUGUUGGCUUUGCCAGAUGUCUGAAUUCUUAGAUCUACCCAGACUGCCAAAUAGUAUUUGAGACACAGACAGUCUAAUAUUUGUAGGGAGAACUUCAUGUUUUUUCUAGCCACUUGCCGGUUU
This 6768-nucleotide long non-coding RNA is filed under the name Lynx pardinus (Iberian lynx). The record is from RNAcentral. Lineage: Eukaryota; Metazoa; Chordata; Mammalia; Carnivora; Felidae.